RNAcentral lists this small RNA (140 nucleotides) under Xenorhabdus mauleonii. RNAcentral describes it as "t44 RNA". It matches the Rfam family "t44 RNA". From Rfam's summary of the family: This family consists of a number of bacterial RNA genes of between 135 and 170 bases in length. The t44 gene is found between the map and rpsB genes in all species in the full alignment apart from Shigella flexneri. The record is from RNAcentral. Lineage: Bacteria; Pseudomonadati; Pseudomonadota; Gammaproteobacteria; Enterobacterales; Morganellaceae.
AUAAAACUCAUUAUGUGUAAAUAACACACACAGAUCGGCACAUACACCGGGGUGCUCUCAUGCGGCUAGUUCAUGCUUUCGUUUAAAUGAAUAGUCAGCAGCCAAAGAGUCGGUGUUAUGGGAUCUGUGGAGGCACAACC